GUGCUCACUUCGGCAGCACUUAUACUAAAAUUGGAACAAUAUAGAGAAGAUUAGCAUGGCCCCUGAGCAAGGAUGACACGCAAAUUCGUGAAGUGUUCCUUAUUUUU
Equus asinus (donkey) is the source of this 107-nucleotide small nuclear RNA. Lineage: Eukaryota; Metazoa; Chordata; Mammalia; Perissodactyla; Equidae. The record is from Ensembl.